GGUUUCCUAAAGACUCUUUUACUUAAGUGUGGGCUUUCAGUUUUUUACCAAGUAUCCUUCAUAACUGAUGGAAUUCUUCACCCAUUUCUAAAACUAUCUGUACCCUCAUACAAAAUAUUCAUUUUCUUUCCUUAUUGCAGAAUGUAAUUUCCUAUAUUUACACUUUGUUUUCUAAUGUCUUCCUAUGUAAAAACCUUGAAUAAUUCAUCAAGAGUAAUAUGAAGUUAUCGAUACUAGCAGCUCUGGCCAUGAUAUACCAAGGGUUUGCAAUGCUAUCACUCUAUUAUAUCCUCCAAAGUCAGUGAGCUGCCUGGAUAUUACGCUUAUUCUGUGUAGUGCUAAAACCUAUCUACUAACUUACGUUUUUACUGUUAAUUCUAUAGCAUACGGGCAUUUCCAAGAUUCCCUCCCAGUCUCAACUUUAUCUAUUGUAAAGUGAGUGAUAUAUUUAUAAUAAAAUCCUACCUCAUGUUGUCUGCCCUCAGGAAUGAGACAUGUACAACCAUUUGGAAUUUCUUGGCUUUGACCUGACAAGUUUCUCCAGUCUUCAGCGAUGGUUGCUGUACCAUCAUGUUCUCCUUGUCUUACUUCUACAAUGGUAACCUUUCUAAUAUUAAUCAUCAUGUUGAGGAUUCUGUGAGAAAUGAUACAAAAUAUAAUAGAAGAGGACCAUCAUGGUGUUCCUUAGAGAUUAACUAGAAAAGGUGAGUAAGCAAAUUAGUCAGCUAAAUUAACUAGUUGUUUUAGAAGACAUGAGAUCUUUAUGCCAUCGCGUUGUGCCUCAUUAGAUCCAUUAGUUGCUUGACAUUGUCAUUAUUCUACCCACUUCUUUCUGUGCAGUUUCACCGUGUCAGCUUUGAUUUCCCCUGUACUUUUUUUUUUUUUUUUUCCAGCUCAAAGCUAUUAUAUCACCUUCCAGGAGCAUUGAUUUUUAGUCAGGUGUCACAAAUUUCCCACUCAUCAUUUCCUCACAAGCGUAAAACUGACUGUUGCUGUUC
Molecule: long non-coding RNA, 998 nt
Filed under: Felis catus (domestic cat)
Lineage: Eukaryota; Metazoa; Chordata; Mammalia; Carnivora; Felidae
Description: lncRNA (ENSFCAG00000048226.1)
Source: RNAcentral